GCUCAGGAUGAACGCUAGCGGCAGGCUUAAUACAUGCAAGUCGUGGGGCAGCAUGAGUGUAGCAAUACAUUUGAUGGCGACCGGCAAACGGGUGCGGAACACGUACUGAACCUUCCUUUAAGUGGGGAAUAGCCCAGAGAAAUUUGGAUUAAUACCCCGUAAUAUAUAGAAGUGGCAUCACUUUUAUAUUAAAGCUCCGGCGCUUAAAGAUGGCAGUGCGGCUGAUUAGGUAGUUGGCGGGGUAACGGCCCACCAAGCCGACGAUCAGUAACUGGUGUGAGAGCACGACCAGUCACACGGGCACUGAGACACGGGCCCGACUCCUACGGGAGGCAGCAGUAAGGAAUAUUGGUCAAUGGACGCAAGUCUGAACCAGCCAUGCCGCGUGGAGGAUGAAGGUCCUCUGGAUUGUAAACUUCUUUUAUCUGGGAAGAAACCCAUCUUUUCUUGGAUGGUUGACGGUACCAGAUGAAUAAGCACCGGCUAACUCCGUGCCAGCAGCCGCGGUAAUACGGAGGGUGCAAGCGUUAUCCGGAUUCACUGGGUUUAAAGGGUGCGUAGGUGGGCAGGUAAGUCAGCGGUGAAAUCUCCGGGCUUAACCCGGAAACUGCCAUUGAUACUAUCUGUCUUGAAUACCCUGGAGGUGAGCGGAAUAUGUCAUGUAGCGGUGAAAUGCUUAGAUAUGACAUAGAACACCCAUUGCGAAGGCAGCUCACUACGGGAAUAUUGACACUGAGGCACGAAAGCGUGGGGAUCAAACAGGAUUAGAUACCCUGGUAGUCCACGCCCUAAACGAUGGAUACUCGACAUCAGCGAUAAACUGUUGGUGUCUGAGCGAAAGCAUUAAGUAUCCCACCUGGGAAGUACGAUCGCAAGAUUGAACUCAAAG
RNAcentral lists this ribosomal RNA (889 nucleotides) under uncultured bacterium. RNAcentral's name for it is "bacterial SSU rRNA". It matches the Rfam family "Bacterial small subunit ribosomal RNA", at positions 22 to 906 of the family's 1533-position model. The record is from RNAcentral.